GGCGCUGCGCAGCACCUGAGGGCGCGGCCGUAACGGCUGCAGCUCCAGAGCGGAGAGGUGGCUUGCCGCCUGCUGCUCCAGCACAGCUUGAUUACCUCUGCGGGGAAACGUUUCUUACGUAUUUAUGGGAUCAGGUUGCGAUGAAGGUGUCAUUCCCCAUCCUUUCCUCUCCGUGCUGGUGGGGGUUCCCCAGGAAGGCACGCAAGUGCUGCCUGGAAAAUGGAGGCGCCGCUCAGCCGGGUCUUUGUGAAGGGGAGAGCGGCUGGGAGCACCGACCUGGUCGUGAGGGGAGAGCUGACCCUGCCCAUGGCGAGCAGGCAGGGUGAGCAGAGGCCGGGGGAGGAGGCAGCCCUGGGUAUGCCGGUGCCACUCGGUGUGGUUGAAUACAGCAGUGCGUUUUGUGGUCCAGAGAGCCAUUUUACAGAAGGACUGCUGUGUGAUACACAUCCACCAUUGAUUUUUCUGCAAGGAACAGAAGCAGAUCCCUUAAAUCUACCGUGAAUGUAUUGGUCUUCUAUUACUGCAAGUCCCCAUCUUUUUGAAUUGAAAAGAGAAAGAGCAGAGGCUUUUCUUAAACAUUUCCCACUUCUUCCUAACAUUGCCAUGGUAAGAAUGCCACAUCUGACAGCACUGCCUCAGCAGAACAAGCACUGAAAACAAAGGAAGCAUUAACCAGUGAGGAACCAGAGAGGGUCGCUUUUUUCUCCAUCAGAUUUUAAGUAUCUUUGAAAGCCAUGUUGGUCGAUUUACAUUUUGUACAUACUGCAAAGAAUGGUACAUUAAGAUAAAUGAUGUGUUGUCAUGCCUUCCAGUGUUACAGUGGGUGACAGGCAAACUUAGAGAUCCAUGUAUGCUUUACAGAACAGUACAUCCAUUCAAAUAAACUCAUACAAAACUAA
RNAcentral lists this long non-coding RNA (899 nucleotides) under Gallus gallus (chicken). RNAcentral's name for it is "uncharacterized LOC416951 (LOC416951)". The record is from RNAcentral. Lineage: Eukaryota; Metazoa; Chordata; Aves; Galliformes; Phasianidae.